RNAcentral lists this ribosomal RNA (940 nucleotides) under Chlamydiia bacterium. RNAcentral's name for it is "partial 23S ribosomal RNA". It matches the Rfam family "Bacterial large subunit ribosomal RNA", at positions 1977 to 2925 of the family's 2925-position model. The record is from RNAcentral. Lineage: Bacteria; Pseudomonadati; Chlamydiota; Chlamydiia.
UACACUCUUUACCUGCACGAAUGGCGUAACGAUCUGGGCACUGUCUCAACGAGAGACUCGGUGAAAUUGUAGUAGCGGUGAAGAUGCCGUUUACCCGCAGCUAGACGGAAAGACCCCGUGAACCUUUACUGUACUCUGAUAUUGGCUUUUGACUUGUCAUGUGUAGGAUAGCCGGGAGGCUGUGAAAGAGAUUCGUCAGGAUUUCUGGAGCCAUCCUUGAAAUACCGGCCUUGACAUGUUGAAAAUCUAACGAAGCCCCGUGAAUCCGGGGUUCGGACAUUGUCAGACGGGCAGUUUGACUGGGGCGGUAUCCUCCUAAAAUGUAACGGAGGAGUUCAAAGCUUGCCUCAUCGUGGUUGGCAAUCACGAUUAGAGCGUAAAGGUAUAAGGCAAGUUGACUGCGAGACCAACGAGUCGAGCAGGUACGAAAGUAGGACUUAGUGAUCCGGCGGUGGAAAGUGGAAUCGCCGUCGCUUAACGGAUAAAAGGUACUCCGGGGAUAACAGGCUUAUCGCCACCAAGAGUUCAUAUCGACGUGGCGGUUUGGCACCUCGAUGUCGGCUCAUCGCAUCCUGGGGCUGUAGAAGGUCCCAAGGGUUUGGCUGUUCGCCAAUUAAAGCGGUACGCGAGCUGGGUUCAAAACGUCGUGAGACAGUUUGGUCCCUAUCCUUUGCGGGCGCAGGAUACUUGAGAGGAGCUGCUUCUAGUACGAGAGGACCGAAGUGGACAAACCAAUGGUGUUCCGGUUGUUCUGCCAAGGGCAUAGCCGGGUAGCUACGUUUGGAAAGGAUAAGCGUUGAAAGCAUCUAAACGCCAAGCCUCCCUCAAGAUUAGGUAUCCCAAUGAGACUCCAUGAAGACUACAUGGUUGAUAGGUUGGAAGUGUAAGCGUAGUAAUGCGUUGAGCUGACCAAUACUAAUGAGUCCAUUGGCUUGACCAU